Molecule: long non-coding RNA, 803 nt
Filed under: Salvia miltiorrhiza (redroot sage)
Lineage: Eukaryota; Viridiplantae; Streptophyta; Magnoliopsida; Lamiales; Lamiaceae
Description: long non-coding RNA (SMIL_LNC008950)
Source: RNAcentral
UCUUCCACAAAAGAAAACAAGCAGAAGCAACAAAAGCAUUCACCAAUAUACAUAUUCAGUUUCAGUCUUGUACAUAAUCACAGUACCAUAAUGUUUCAUCUCCUACUUCAUCACUCCACACUAUUCUCUUUAUUCUGAUCAGAUACACAAGCCCAACAACAUGUAAGAACAAUUACAAUCACACUAACCAGACUUUUAAUUUGCUAAAUAAUUCACUGAAUAAGAAAUACCUACGAAACUUUCAGUAAUGAAAGAAAGACACGGAAUAUGCUAGGAUCAAAACCUUGAAAUUCUUGCAAUAAGCUUCAAUCGUGUUUGAGGGCCUCGGUGUUGAUGUGCGUUGAGAGUCGAAGCGAGGAGAGGAGUGCGGAGAAGGAGAAAGGGGUGGCGGUGGUGGCAGUCGCCACCGGGCAAGGGAAAGGAGAGCCGAAGGCGGCGGCUCUUACAGCUGCUGCUCGGCCAAGAUAGAGGUGGAAAAAGUGCGGCGCGGUGCUCUGCUGGCGGAAUGGGCGAAAGGGAGGUGGUAAAGCCAGCAGCCGACUCCGGCUACAGAAUGACGGCAGCAGCCCUCGCUGGCUGUUUGCUCGCUGCGAAUCGAGGGAGAGGAAGAGAGAUGUUAGGGUAUUAUUCCAAUUUAGGGAAUUUCUUCAAUUUGGAGCUUCGCGAGAAUGAGAGGAGAGGUACGCUGGUGGUGGCCGAGGGCAGCGACGCCGGCGUCUGUGUCUGUGUGUGUGCAGACUAUGCUGGAGUGUGUUUGUGCGUGAGUUGGUGUGUCUGAAAGUGGUUUGGGCUGAAUUGUUUUU